Rhodamnia argentea is the source of this 337-nucleotide long non-coding RNA. RefSeq lists it as uncharacterized. NCBI's taxonomy places the organism in Eukaryota, Viridiplantae, Streptophyta, Magnoliopsida, Myrtales, Myrtaceae. The record is from RefSeq and is a predicted model, not a curated record. The transcript has 2 exons.
UCGCCUACAACAUCCGUGGUAUGUGACAGUGCGCGAUUAAGGUAAAGAAAUCUAAAAGGAAGCUUUUACUACCAUCCAAGAUUUGCUGGACGAGGUGGAGCCACUGGAAAAGAUGUAAUCUCUCAAUGGAAAAUCCAGAUAUUAGGCAUCGGACACAGGUGUCUAACUACUUCAUGUUUAGAAGAUUGUAAACUCUGAUAUACUUCACUGUUCUGAAAUUAUAGUGAGAUUCUGCUUACCCUCUGAUUUUAGAGCCAUUUAGUGAGGAAAAAGACCAUUUACGGCGGGGUGUGCCAUGAGUCCAUGGUCUGAUGAUGUGCUCAAGCCAGCUGCAUGU